GUGCUCACCUCAGCAGCACAUAUACUAAAAUUGAGACAAUACAGAAAAGAUCAUCAUGGCCCCUACAUAAGGACAACAUGCAAAUUUAUGAAGCAUUCGUUAGUUUU
This is a small nuclear RNA of Otolemur garnettii (small-eared galago), 107 nucleotides long. The record is from Ensembl. Lineage: Eukaryota; Metazoa; Chordata; Mammalia; Primates; Galagidae.